UACAGAGGUCCCAAGCGUUGUUCGGAUUUACUGGGCGUAAAGGGUGCGUAGGUGGCGGGGUAAGUCUGGUGUGAAAGCUCCGAGCUCAACUCGGAAAAGCAUUGGAAGCUAUCCCGCUUGAGGGUCGGAGGGGAGACUGGAAUUCUCGGUGUAGCAGUGAAAUGCGUAGAUAUCGAGAGGAACACCAGUGGCGAAGGCGAGUCUCUGGACGACUCCUGACACUGAGGCACGAAAGCUAGGGGAGCAAACAGG
Molecule: ribosomal RNA, 252 nt
Filed under: uncultured bacterium
Lineage: Bacteria
Description: partial 16S ribosomal RNA
Rfam family: Bacterial small subunit ribosomal RNA
Source: RNAcentral